CAGAAUUCCCUCUGUCAAGCGAACAUGGAGGAGGGACUUUGCAGGAAAAGAGGGGAGCAGGUGCAACAGGAAGAAACAGAAGGAAGGGCUCAGCUCCAAGUCAUGUGCUGAGGACUAAACGUUGUGAGAAAGACAAUGAACAGGUACGGUGAACAGACUGGAACAAAGGAAGAGUUAAAGAUUCCAGAGAGCAGUACCAGGAGGCAUCCCCACCAGCCAAUGCCAGUCACCUGGGGACCACGAGAGGAGGAACUGGCCAAUGAUGGGGCCAAUGUCAGCAGCUGGAGCCGAGAAAUGGAGAGAAAACAAUUCUUGGUUUUAUUUUGAGUCACCACAUAAAGCUUCUCC
Neogale vison (American mink) is the source of this 348-nucleotide long non-coding RNA. RefSeq lists it as uncharacterized. NCBI's taxonomy places the organism in Eukaryota, Metazoa, Chordata, Mammalia, Carnivora, Mustelidae. The record is from RefSeq and is a predicted model, not a curated record. The transcript is spliced from 3 exons.